GGGUUAAAUCAUCCCUCAUCUAAAAAAGCUUCUAUCUCAUAUGACAACUGUGGGGGGGGAAGCCGUUGCUCAACUAGUGGGACUCACCUACCAUUCUCAUCCCUCUGCGGGAUAUAGGUUUUAAGGGGUUGGUCCCAUCAUUCAAGUAGCCUGCCACAAAUUUCCAGAGCCUGGAGGUGGAGCAGUCUUUAAGAUGUGAGACCCUUCAUCCAAAAAACUGAAGCGGCCUCGACAGACAUUAAGUGAAUACCAUGCAAUAGCACCCAAUUGACAAUAUCAUGCCAUAUUGGGCCCAAAUUCAGGUUGUCUUCUUUGGCUUUAUGAUCUUGCGGAAGUAGGCGGAGUUCAUCAAUCAUGCGGAUGGACUCGGAAACAUUUUCAGGUGAGAUAAAGUCCAAAACCACAUUUACGCAAGACUGCAUAUCAAAAGUGCCAAAUGCUAGAAAUUAUAUAAGCGUAUUGAUAUAUUUUUUUAUUCACCUCAAGAAACUGCGAUGAACAGCCUCUUUGUGCAAAUCAAUAUAAAAUGCUCAAAUGAAGGAUAAAAAAUUAGAGAAAAGUGGCCAUAUCAUUUACAGCUAAGAUUAUACAAAUCAAAAGCAGUUAAUG
Molecule: long non-coding RNA, 609 nt
Organism: Vitis vinifera (wine grape)
Lineage: Eukaryota; Viridiplantae; Streptophyta; Magnoliopsida; Vitales; Vitaceae
Exons: 3
Source: RefSeq, a predicted model, not a curated record